CCUACGGGAGGCAGCAGUGAGGAAUAUUGGUCAAUGGACGAGAGUCUGAACCAGCCAAGUAGCGUGAAGGAUGACUGCCCUAUGGGUUGUAAACUUCUUUUAUAAAGGAAUAAAACGAGGCACGUGUGCCUUUUUGCAUGUACUUUAUGAAUAAGGAUCGGCUAACUCCGUGCCAGCAGCCGCGGUAAUACGGAGGAUCCGAGCGUUAUCCGGAUUUAUUGGGUUUAAAGGGAGCGUAGAUGGGUUGUUAAGUCAGUUGUGAAAGUUUGCGGCUAAACCGUAAAAUUGCAAUUGAUACUGGUAGUCUUGAGUACAGUUGAGGUAGGCGGAAUUCGUGGUGUAGCGGUGAAAUGCUUAGAUAUCACGAAGAACCCCGAUUGCGAAGGCAGCUUACUAAACUGUGACUGACAUUGAUGCUCGAAAGUGUGGGUAUCAAACAGGAUUAGAUACCCUGGUAGUC
Molecule: ribosomal RNA, 460 nt
Filed under: uncultured bacterium
Lineage: Bacteria
Description: partial 16S ribosomal RNA
Rfam family: Bacterial small subunit ribosomal RNA
Source: RNAcentral